AUUGAACGCUGGCGGCAGGCCUAACACAUGCAAGUCGAGCGGCGAGGCGGAGGGGUGAGUAAUGCUCAGGAAUCUGCCUGGUAGUGGGGGAUAACGUUAGGUAACGGGCGCUAAUACCGCAUACUAUCAGAUGAGCCUAGGUCGGAUUUGCUAGUUGGUGGGGUAAAGGCCUACCAAGGCGACGAUCAGUAACCGGUCUGAGAGGAUGAUCAGUCACACUGGAAAUGAGACACGGUCCAGACUCCUACGGGAGGCAGCAGUGGGGAAUAUUGGACAAUGGGCGAAAGCCUGAGCCAGCCAUGCCGCGGGUGUGAAGAAGGUCUUCGGAUUGUAAAGCACUUUAAGUUGGGAGGCGUUACCAACAGAAUAAGCACCGGCUAACUUCGUGCCAGCAGCCGCGGUAAUAC
Molecule: ribosomal RNA, 407 nt
Filed under: uncultured bacterium
Lineage: Bacteria
Description: partial 16S ribosomal RNA
Rfam family: Bacterial small subunit ribosomal RNA
Source: RNAcentral